UGGGGAAUAUUGGACAAUGGGCGAAAGCCUGAUCCAGCAAUGCCGCGUGUGUGAAGAAGGCCUUCGGGUUGUAAAGCACUUUCGGUAGGGAGGAUGUUGACUAUGUUUAAGAGAUAUAGUUGAUGACGUUACCUACAGAAGAAGCACCGGCUAACUCUGUGCCAGCAGCCGCGGUAAUACAGAGGGUGCAAGCGUUAAUCGGAAUUACUGGGCGUAAAGGGUGAGUAGGUGGUAUUUUAAGUUAUAUGUGAAAUUUCUGAGCUUAACUUGGAAAGUGCAUGUAAUACUGGAUUACUAGAGUACUGUAGAGGGCGAUGGAAUUUCCGGUGUAGCGGUGAAAUGCGUAGAUAUCGGAAGGAACACCAGUGGCGAAGGCGAUCGCCUGGACAGAUACUGACACUAAUACACGAAAGCGUGGGGAGCAAACAGG
Molecule: ribosomal RNA, 430 nt
Filed under: uncultured bacterium
Lineage: Bacteria
Description: bacterial SSU rRNA
Rfam family: Bacterial small subunit ribosomal RNA
Source: RNAcentral